GGACCCGCACAAGCGGUGGAGCAUGUGGUUUAAUUCGACGAUACGCGAAGAACCUUACCAAGACUUGACAUCCGCAGAAUCUUCUAGAGAUAGAGGAGUGCCUUCGGGAACUGCGUGACAGGUGGUGCAUGGCUGUCGUCAGCUCGUGUCGUGAGAUGUUGGUUAAGUCCCGCAACGAGCGAAACCCUUGUCUUAUGUUACCAGCACGUUAUGGUGGGGACUCAUAAGAGACUGCCCGUGGAAAGCGGGAGGAAGGUGAGGACGACGUCAAGUCAUCAUGCCCCUUACGUCUUGGCCACACACAUGCUACAAUGGCCGGUACAAUGAGUCGCGAAGCCGCGAGGUGGAGCC
RNAcentral lists this ribosomal RNA (351 nucleotides) under uncultured bacterium. Its description in RNAcentral is "bacterial SSU rRNA". It matches the Rfam family "Bacterial small subunit ribosomal RNA", at positions 917 to 1269 of the family's 1533-position model. The record is from RNAcentral.